GACGGAAUAAAAUAAUGGUAGUUUGAAGGGCUCAUAAUCCUUUUGUGCUGGUUCGAAUCCAGCUUCCGUCA
Molecule: transfer RNA, 71 nt
Filed under: Colponema vietnamica
Lineage: Eukaryota; Colponemida; Colponemidia
Description: tRNA-Met
Rfam family: tRNA
About the family: Transfer RNA (tRNA) molecules are approximately 80 nucleotides in length. Their secondary structure includes four short double-helical elements and three loops (D, anti-codon, and T loops). Further hydrogen bonds mediate the characteristic L-shaped molecular structure. tRNAs have two regions of fundamental functional importance: the anti-codon, which is responsible for specific mRNA codon recognition, and the 3' end, to which the tRNAs corresponding amino acid is attached (by aminoacyl-tRNA synthetases). tRNAs cope with the degeneracy of the genetic code in two manners: having more than one tRNA (with a specific anti-codon) for a particular amino acid; and 'wobble' base-pairing, i.e. permitting non-standard base-pairing at the 3rd anti-codon position.
Source: RNAcentral